AUUGAACGCUGGCGGCAGGCCUAACACAUGCAAGUCGAGCGAGCGGCGGACGGGUGAGUAAUGUAUGGGGACUGCCCGAUAGAGGGGGAUAACUACUGGAAACGGUAGCUAAUACCGCAUACUAUCGGAUAACCCAUAUGGGGUUAGCUAGUAGGUGAGGGAAUGGCUCACCUAGGCGACGAUCCCUAGCUGGUCUGAGAGGAUGACCAGCCAACCUGGGACUGAGACACGGCCCAGCCGCCGACGGAGGCAGCAGUGGGGAAUAUUGCACAAUGGGCGCAAGCUUGAUGCAGCCAGGCGGCGUGUAUGAAGAAGGCCCUAGGGUUGUAAAGUACUUUCAGUGUGGAGGCGUUACCUACAGAAGAAGCACCGGCUAACUCCGUGCCAGCAGCCGCGGUAAUAC
This 403-nucleotide ribosomal RNA is filed under the name uncultured bacterium. Its description in RNAcentral is "partial 16S ribosomal RNA". It matches the Rfam family "Bacterial small subunit ribosomal RNA", at positions 30 to 526 of the family's 1533-position model. The record is from RNAcentral.